RNAcentral lists this small nuclear RNA (100 nucleotides) under Nicotiana attenuata. RNAcentral describes it as "snRNA U1". It matches the Rfam family "U1 spliceosomal RNA", at positions 16 to 119 of the family's 166-position model. From Rfam's summary of the family: U1 is a small nuclear RNA (snRNA) component of the spliceosome (involved in pre-mRNA splicing). Its 5' end forms complementary base pairs with the 5' splice junction, thus defining the 5' donor site of an intron. Lineage: Eukaryota; Viridiplantae; Streptophyta; Magnoliopsida; Solanales; Solanaceae. The record is from RNAcentral.
GGGUCAAUGGGCGGUCACUAAGGCCCAUGAUCCAGGCUGAUAGACUUUCAUUGCACUUUAAAGGGUGCUAGCCUAAGGUCGACCUCAGUGGUCGAACCUA